Molecule: long non-coding RNA, 2382 nt
Filed under: Triticum aestivum (bread wheat)
Lineage: Eukaryota; Viridiplantae; Streptophyta; Magnoliopsida; Poales; Poaceae
Description: long non-coding RNA (TAES_LNC004761)
Source: RNAcentral
AAACGACUAUGAUGAAAUCAAGAAAUACCUAGAGAUGAGAUACAUAUCAACAACUGAAGCAUGCUGGCGGAUAUUCCAGUUUGAUCUACACCAUCGUGAUCCACCAGUAGAGAGACUGCCAUUCCACAUUGAAAAUGAACAACAAAUUAUUUUUCCAGACUCAACUGACAUCUAGAAGAUAGUAAGAAAGCCAGGAACCGCAGGUACUAAGUUCACUGAGUGGAUGGAGGCAAACAAAAUACAUGAGGUGGGAAAAGAAUUAACCUAUGCAGAAUUCCCAUCAAAAUUUGUAUGGAAAAGCGACACCAAAACUUGGGAGGAGCGGAAAAGAGGCUUUGCUAUUGGUAGAAUCUACUAUGCACACCCUGCAAGUGGAGAGCGGUAUUAUAUGAGAAUGCUUCUAAACACAAAGAAAGGAUGCACAUCAUUUGAGGAUAUUCGAACAGUUAAUGAAGUUGUUCACCCAACAUACAAAUCAGCAUGCCAGGCACUUGGUUUUCUUGAUGAUGAUAGUGAGUGCAUUGAAUGCAUCAAUGAAGCAUCAACAUGGGGAUCAGGGACACAAUUACGACAGCUAUUCAGCACAAUUUUAUGCCAUUGUGAGGUUACCAGCCCAAAGAUGUUGUGGGAUUCUACAUGGGAGGCACUAUCUGAAGAUAUCCAGUACAAAAGAAGAAUUAUCCUAAACUUUCCUACGCUGCAGCUCACUGAUUCACAAAAAAAAGCAUAUGCUCUGAUCGAGAUAAGAGAAACUAAUGAGGCAAGCAGGAAAGACACUAAAGGACUAUCCAGACAUAGAACUACCAAAUGCUACAGAACUUGAACAACUUGGGAACAGAAUGAUAAAUGAAGAACUUAGCUACGACAUGGAAGCACUAAAGAAUGAGCACCAAACCAUAAUAAGCAAUCUUAACCAUGACCAGAAAAUGGCCUUUGAUGCAAUAAUAGAGUCAGUUGAGAGAGGACACGGAAAACAGAUAUUUGUAGAAGGCUAUGGUGGCACAUGCAAAACUUAUCUAUGGAAAGCAAUUACAACGAAACUACGAUCAGAGGGAAAGAUAGUGCUUGCGGUAGCAUCAUCUGGCAUUGCAGCUUUGCUGCUCCAAGGUGGAAGAACAGCGCACUCAAGAUUCCACAUUCCAAUAAAUAUCACGGAAGAAUCAACAUGUGAAAUAAAACAAGGCUCACAUUUGGCUGAACUGGUAAAGAAGACCUCACUGAUAUUGUGGGACGAGGCUCCGAUGGCAAACAAACACUGCUUCGAGGCACUAGACAAAAGCCUUAGGGAUAUUCUAAGGUUCACAAACCAAAACAGUAACGAAAGGCCAUUCGGUGGCAUGACCGUGGUGCUAGGAGGCGACUUCAGACAAAUACUUCUAGUCAUAAAAAAAGGAAGGAGAGAGCAGGUAGUAAAUGCCUCAAUCAAAAGGUCAUACGUAUGGAAGCACUUCGAAAUAUUUAGCCUAACUGGAAAUAUGCGGUUGAAGUGCCUGUCAGAAGAUCCAAUACAAAAGCAAAAUGUGGCUGAAUUUGCAGAAUGGAUAUUACAAAUUGGCGAUGGAAAAAGAACAAACGAUGAAGGGGAUGAUUGGGUAAAAAUACCUAAAGACAUAAUUCUACAUAAAGGAGAAGACCCCAAAGAAGAGAUAGUCAAAAGAACGUCCCCAAACUUGCAACAAAACUACCGUGACUGUGAAUUUCUCGAAGAAAGAGCAAUACUAUGUCCAAGGAAUGAAACAGUUGAGAAGAUAAAUGACUACAUAAUGAGCCAAAUACAAGGGGAAGAGGUGACAUACCUAAGCUUGGACACUGUAUGCAAGGCAACAAUGAAGUACAACACAAUGGUGAAUAUGUGUCCAACAGAGUUUCUUAACAACAUGACCAUCCCAGGAAUUCCAAACCACGAGCUAAAACUGAAGGUAGGUUUGCCGGUGAUGCUCCUACGCAACAUCAAUCAAGCAGCAGGUUUAUGCAAUGUACAAGAAUGGCUAUUACAUAGCUGGGAAACAGGUAUAUUGAGGCACAAAUAAUCACAGGAACACAUGUCGGUGACAAGGUAUACAUACCUAAAAUCAUUAUGUCACCAAGCGACUCAAAGUGGCCCUUCGUGCUGAAAAGAAGGCAAUAUCCUCUAUCAGUUUGUUUUGCAAUGACAAUAAAUAAAAGCCAAGGUCAAUCCCUAAACAAGGUGGGUCUAUAUUUGCCUAAGCAAGUCUUCUGCCAUGGGCAACUAUAUGUGGCACUAUCAAGAGUCACAAGCAGAGAAGGAUUAAAGGUGCUGAUUGACGACACGGAGUGCCCAAGCGAAGAUAGCGCAAAGAAUAUAGUAUACAAAGAGAUCUUCUAAUUUUUUUGUUACUCAAGUAAAUGUAUAUCAGGGCC